This 460-nucleotide ribosomal RNA is filed under the name uncultured bacterium. RNAcentral describes it as "partial 16S ribosomal RNA". It matches the Rfam family "Bacterial small subunit ribosomal RNA", at positions 338 to 795 of the family's 1533-position model. The record is from RNAcentral.
CCUACGGGAGGCUGCAGUGAGGAAUAUUGGUCAAUGGACGAGAGUCUGAACCAGCCAAGUAGCGUGAAGAAUGACUGCCCUAUGGGUUGUAAACUUCUUUUAUAAAGGAAUAAAACGAGGCACGUGUGCCUUUUUGCAUGUACUUUAUGAUUAAGGAUCGGCUAACUCCGUGCCAGAAGCCGCGGUAAUACGGAGGAUCCGAGCGUUAUCCGGAUUUAUUGGGUUUAAAGGGAGCGUCGAUGGGUUGUUAAGUCAGUUGUGAAAGUUUGCGGCUCAAACGUAAAAUUGCAAUUGAUACUGGCAGUCUUGAGUACAGUUGAGGUAGGCGGAAUUCGUGGUGUAGCGGUGAAAUGCUUAGAUAUCACGAAGAACCCCGAUUGCGAAGGCAGCUCACUAAAUUGUGACUGACAUUGAUGCUCGAAAGUGUGGGGAGCAAACAGGAUUAGAUACCCUUGUAGUC